GAUGAAGAACGUAGCGAAAUGCGAUAAGUAAUGUGAAUUGCAGAAUUCAGUGAAUCAUCGAAUCUUUGAACGCACCUUGCACCCUUUGGCAUUCCGAAGGGUAUGCUCGUUUGAGUGUCAUUGUACUCUCACACUUCUGAUCCUUUGGAUUGGGAGCGGUGGACUUGGUUGUUGCUGCUUUACUGUGGCUCACCUCAAAUGCAUUCGUGCAACUCUUGGUUGGACAUAGUACGGCGUGAUAAGUAUCUUCGCCGGCACCUCGCAAGAGGGUGGCUGAUCAGGAGCUCUGUGCUUUCCAACUGUCUUCAGACAACAACUGACAACUUGACCUCAAAUCGAGUAGGACCACCCGCUGAACUUAAGCAUAUCAAUAAGCGGAGGA
This 382-nucleotide unclassified non-coding RNA is filed under the name soil metagenome. RNAcentral describes it as "partial contains 5.8S ribosomal RNA, internal transcribed spacer 2, and large subunit ribosomal RNA". The stretch from base 1 to 120 matches the Rfam family "5.8S ribosomal RNA", at positions 35 to 154 of the family's 154-position model. The record is from RNAcentral.